Molecule: ribosomal RNA, 253 nt
Filed under: uncultured bacterium
Lineage: Bacteria
Description: partial 16S ribosomal RNA
Rfam family: Bacterial small subunit ribosomal RNA
Source: RNAcentral
UACGUAGGGUGCGAGCGUUAAUCGGAAUUACUGGGCGUAAAGCGUGCGCAGGCGGUUUUGUAAGUCAGCUGUGAAAUCCCCGGGCUUAACCUGGGAACUGCGUUUGAAACUACAAGGCUAGAGUGUGGCAGAGGGGAGUGGAAUUCCACGUGUAGCAGUGAAAUGCGUAGAGAUGUGGAGGAACACCGAUGGCGAAGGCAGCCCCCUGGGUUAACACUGACGCUCAGGCACGAAAGCGUGGGGAGCAAACAGG